GCGGAGGUUGCCAAGCUAGGUCAAAGGCGCAGGCCUGAGGCGCUCGAAUCGAGGGUUCAAAUCCCUCCCUCCGCACCA
Molecule: transfer RNA, 78 nt
Filed under: Candidatus Thorarchaeota archaeon
Lineage: Archaea; Promethearchaeati; Candidatus Thorarchaeota
Description: tRNA-Leu
Rfam family: tRNA
About the family: Transfer RNA (tRNA) molecules are approximately 80 nucleotides in length. Their secondary structure includes four short double-helical elements and three loops (D, anti-codon, and T loops). Further hydrogen bonds mediate the characteristic L-shaped molecular structure. tRNAs have two regions of fundamental functional importance: the anti-codon, which is responsible for specific mRNA codon recognition, and the 3' end, to which the tRNAs corresponding amino acid is attached (by aminoacyl-tRNA synthetases). tRNAs cope with the degeneracy of the genetic code in two manners: having more than one tRNA (with a specific anti-codon) for a particular amino acid; and 'wobble' base-pairing, i.e. permitting non-standard base-pairing at the 3rd anti-codon position.
Source: RNAcentral